AGAAAGGCAGAUCCCUGACUUUUGUUCUUUUCAAAACAAGAAUUAAGAUACAUGUGUUGGAAGAAUAUUACUGAAGUCACCCAAAGUAAAAUGAAUGGAUAUGUUCCCAUUCCUGUGGAAAAUUUUGGAGGUUUCAAAAUCAUUGUCAUGCACUCUCUGGAAUCUGAAUUAAUGACUCAAGGCUUCUUUGCUCAGAUAUAUCUGCCAUGGUGGACUUAGGCUGUGAAACUUCUCAUGCUGGUAUUUACAAGUGUGAUGUGACUUUU
This is a long non-coding RNA of Zonotrichia leucophrys gambelii, 266 nucleotides long. RefSeq lists it as uncharacterized. The transcript is spliced from 3 exons. The record is from RefSeq and is a predicted model, not a curated record. NCBI's taxonomy places the organism in Eukaryota, Metazoa, Chordata, Aves, Passeriformes, Passerellidae.